UAUCAGAAUGGAAGUUUACAUCUCACUCACGCAACAGUCUGCUCCAGAUCUGGGCAGUACUCAAGGGCAGCUGUCUGCCAUUCCAUUUGGGGUCUUGGAGAUCCAGGCAACUUCAAACUUGAGGCUCUACUUUCUAAGGAAAAAUGAUUUUUCUCUGACUUCCAUGGCAGAAGAGAAAGAUUAGAAAUUUAAUAGGGACAUAUGCCUCAUCCUGAUCUGUGCUGUUCAUAUUUCACUGGCCAUAACUAAUCAUAGGGUUCUAGAUAGCAAGAUUGGAAGCUCAGCCUUCCAUGUGCCUGGGAAAGACAGGGGAAUGACUGGUGAACCGCUUAGCCCAGGGAUUAUAUCAUAAUCAUUUUUCUAUCCCCCAUACUUGGCACAGGGCUUGACAAUAAUCGCCAAUAAAUGUUUCAUAAAUGGAAUCUUAUCUAGAUCAAAUUUGCAUCAAAAGGUGAGGCUCUUCUAAAGGAAAGGGAGCUUCCGCAAAUGAUUCAAGGAGAUAAUUACAGAACUAGGACAAGAAUCUAAGUCUAUUCCCCCUUUCACUACACUUGUUCCUGAAGGAAUUUGUUAUAAAAGAAUUGUAUGCUUUUUCUGGGUUGAGCAUUAUUUCUGCUAAGACGCCUCCUCAGACGAAUAGACAUAGAGAUUGCUGGUGGUGGCCUGUGUCUGAUCUCUAGUUGAUGGAAUAUGAACAGAAGCCAUGGACACCCCUUCCACAUCUGGCCAUGUCAUACCAUCUUCCUGGCCCACAGCAAACCAAUAGACUACUGUCACCACUGCCACCACCACCAAAACAGACCUCAAGCUCAAACCUACUAUCAACAUUACAUCCAACUUUAAAGCUGGGCAAAGGAGCCAUCCAGCAUUCUUCUGAUAACCUCAAUUAGCUUAGAUUUGAGAGUACAAAUUGAAAUGAGAAAAGAAAUGCUUGAGCUGCUGGGAAGUGGCACUGACAUUACUGAGACUCUUUGGUGCUUUAAUUGUGCUGGGAAAAAAUACUAAUGGGGUCAAACAAUUGAAGGCUCAAUGAGAUGAAAACAACUGGGAGCAAGAAGGGAAAGAGGGGCGCGGGAGGCUGAGAGGUUAAUAUCAACUUCUGUCUAAUUUCGGAUUUGGAUUAAAAAACAGAGAAGCUCAAACCUGCUCAAAUCGUGCUGCCAUCUGUGACUCUGAUGUGGCAUUUGGAAGAGUAAAAACACAUGCUGGAAAAUUACCAAGACAAAGAAAAGUUCUGGAAUCUCGGCCCAGGAUUUUCCUUUGUGGCUAAAAGGCUGAGCUACUUUGGAAACAUUUGGAUUCCGUUUCUGUUUUAUCUGAGCCGCAAAGUAUCUCUUUCAAAGCACAGACAUUGGAUUCUAUAUAAGGAGGAACCUUUGUGAGUUAAUCCGACAUCAUUUUCCAGGCUUGUCUAGGAGUUACAUCAUUAAUAAAUGUGUUGGUAGUUAUCGAUUAUCUAACA
Molecule: long non-coding RNA, 1462 nt
Filed under: Vulpes vulpes (red fox)
Lineage: Eukaryota; Metazoa; Chordata; Mammalia; Carnivora; Canidae
Description: lncRNA (ENSVVUG00000021901.1)
Source: RNAcentral